Molecule: ribosomal RNA, 468 nt
Filed under: uncultured bacterium
Lineage: Bacteria
Description: partial 16S ribosomal RNA
Rfam family: Bacterial small subunit ribosomal RNA
Source: RNAcentral
GACGAACGCUGGCGGCGUGCUUAACACAUGCAAGUCGAACGGAAAGGCCCUGCUUUUGUGGGGUGCUCGAGUGGCGAACGGGUGAGUAACACGUGAGUAACCUGCCCUUGACUUUGGGAUAACUUCAGGAAACUGGGGCUAAUACCGGAUAGGAGCUCCUGCUGCAUGGUGGGGGUGGGAAAGUUUCGGGGGUUGGGGAUGGACUCGCGGCUUAUCAGCUUGUUGGUGGGGUAGUGGCUUACCAAGGCUUUGACGGGUAGCCGGCCUGAGAGGGUGACCGGCCACAUUGGGACUGAGAUACGGCCCAGACUCCUACGGGAGGCAGCAGUGGGGAAUAUUGCACAAUGGGCGGAAGCCUGAUGCAGCAACGCCGCGUGCGGGAUGACGGCCUUCGGGUUGUAAACCGCUUUCGCCUGUGACGAAGCGUGAGUGACGGUAAUGGGUAAAGAAGCACCGGCUAACUACGUG